This 253-nucleotide ribosomal RNA is filed under the name uncultured bacterium. RNAcentral's name for it is "partial 16S ribosomal RNA". It matches the Rfam family "Bacterial small subunit ribosomal RNA", at positions 524 to 776 of the family's 1533-position model. The record is from RNAcentral.
UACGGAGGGGGCUAGCGUUGUUCGGAAUUACUGGGCGUAAAGCGCGCGUAGGCGGACCUGCAAGUCGGGGGUGAAAGCCCGAGGCUCAACUCCAGAACUGCCUUUGAUACUGGGAAGCUCGAGUCCGGGAGAGGUGAGUGGAACUCCGAGUGUAGAGGUGAAAUUCGUAGAUAUUCGGAAGAACACCAGUGGCGAAGGCGGCUCACUGGCCCGGUACUGACGCUGAGGUGCGAAAGCGUGGGGAGCAAACAGG